Molecule: long non-coding RNA, 617 nt
Organism: Odocoileus virginianus texanus
Lineage: Eukaryota; Metazoa; Chordata; Mammalia; Artiodactyla; Cervidae
Source: RefSeq, a predicted model, not a curated record
UCAAGGCAACAGCUACCUCACAGUUAUCUCAGCACUGCUUAAAGAAUUAUUUUUCUAGUCAAUCUACCAAGUGUCCUAACUGGCACCUAAAAACCAUUAAAUUCCAUGGAAACACUAAAAAGCAUAAGCAAAUUUUAAAUUAGCUAUUGGUGGAUAAUAAUCCUUCAAGAAGCUAAAAUGCCAUGGAAAUAUGUUACCUUGUGAGAUGGAACCACAAAUUAUUUAUAAGUAAAUUUUAGGCCCAUGUCUAUUAACCAGAGAGAGACCUACAUAUUCAUAGAGGGGUGUCUGCAUAUUCCUGGAAACUUAAAUAACUCAAAAAAGACAUUCUAACUAGAAUGCUCAUCAUCUGCAAAGAGCAGCUGGGAAACCACAGACCAACACCCAAGAAACAAAACAGUCCUGUUCCACAAGCUGCUCAAACACAGUUUCUGCUCUAUUCAUGCGCAAGACAAGAGCUUUGCAGGACGAAUCAUUCUGGAGCUUGCAGGACUCCACCUCUGUGUAUCAACUCCUGCUGCCAGAGAACUGGGCCUCACACAGAGAUCUAGGUCCUGGGCCAACCAACGGUGGACUCAUUACACCACUAAUGAAGCUAUAGCUAUUUUCCCACCUGA